Molecule: transfer RNA, 75 nt
Filed under: subsurface metagenome
Description: tRNA-Met
Rfam family: tRNA
About the family: Transfer RNA (tRNA) molecules are approximately 80 nucleotides in length. Their secondary structure includes four short double-helical elements and three loops (D, anti-codon, and T loops).
Source: RNAcentral
UCGCGGGGUAGAGCAGCGUGUAGCUCGCCAGGCUCAUAACCUGGAGGUCGCGGGUUCAAAUCCCGCCCCCGCUAU